GGGGGGAGCAUGAUUUUUCCCCGUGAUUCAUUGCGACGAAAGGCGGUACCGCUGCUGCAGGAGCAACACCGCCGACGAUGAUUCCUCCAUCCGGGUCUUGGGUGGCGUUAUCUCGGUUGAGGAAGGAGAAACCUUGGCCUCAGAUGUGGUGGCCAGACUUGGCACUGAAGAUGAUAAAGGGAAAGUACUUGGAAACAGUUUUAUGGGUUUUUAAAACCUAGGCAAUUUGAGCAGGAUGAAGAUACUGUAUUGCUGUUCCUUUCUUUGAACAUUUGCAGUCAACUGAAUCUUGCCAUCCAGAGAAGUGCCUAAGGUUUAACCAUAUUUCUAUCUAGCAGUUAUAUGCAGAGAAAAGACUUAGUCUUUAAAUAGCCUGAUGUAUAAGAAUCAUUCAAUUAAACUUGUUCUUUUAAAAAUAUAAUCAGCAUAUCUUAAGUGAAGAUACCUGCACUGUGGGAUGAGGUAGUAGGUUGUAUAGUUUUUAGGGUCAUACCCACCACUGGGAGAUAACUAUACAGUCUACUGUCUUUCCUAAAGAGGCAGACAAUCAUCAGUGACAUCUGUAUGGUUUUAUUACUAGCUAUAUGGUUACAGUUGGAAGGCUUUUGUUAGACUUCAUAUGAACUAUAUUGAUCCUUUGCCAGGCAUACUAGACAUGAAAGUGUGGACUCAGAGGGUUGGAUCCUGAUAACCAUGAAAGGAAGGGAGCUCCUCUGUCAACUUUUCUCCUAUUUUCCCUUCCCCCAGACAGCUGACCCCAUCAUUAGGCAGAGUGAGGCAUCCACAGGAGAGGCAGGUGCAGAGGAGCAGCCCCCCAUCAUUCCUCCUGAGUCCCCUAAGCUAGUCUGCUGCCCCAGAUGCAGGGGGAUGUUGUCUCAUCACCAGUAUUAAAGUAAGAGUCACCUGCCAAUCCAGUUGGAUUUUUAUAUGGAAUGAAAUGGCAUUAUCUUGACAUUUAUCUCAGGCAGCAAAAUGGGUUGGGCUGGCCUUGCCCCCAACAGCCCCUGCUACCGAUUCAACACUGUUGAGGAUCCCCUUAAUCUCCAGAAAGGCUUUUUGUGAAGCACAGGUGAGGUGAGAUGGAGAUGUCCCCAUCUGCAAGUGAGUCUCAGGAUCCAAUCCAAAGGCAGGUAGACUCGGAGCAAAUUAACUGGAAGUAGAACUCCCAUCUAAAUUUCUCUUAUCAGGUUGAGGUAGUAGAUUGUAUAGUUGUAGGGCAGUUAUUUUGCCCUCUUUGGGAGAUAACUAUACAAUCUAUUGCCUUCCCUGAGGAGUAAAAUUUCUGCAGUAUUUUUGCUGAGUUUACCAGCAACCUUGGUUGAAUCUCUUUUAUACCAUAAAGGCUAUGGUUUGCAUAGAAGUACUGUAAUUAAAUUCUUUAUUUUUUUUGCUUUAAAUUGAUAUGUCAGCCUGAAAAAAAGGCUAGGUGGACUAUUCAGUGCUGAUAUCUAUUCUAUUCCUCUGACACUUGAAACAUUGAAGAAAAUUGAUCUACUGUUCCAUGCAGAAAGCUGUCUCAUUGGUGCAGUCUCACAUCUUUAACUAGUUAGUACAUGUGUGAACUACAAACACGGCUGUAAAUAUCAUUCCAGUUAAUCUUACUGCACGAGACAGAUUUAUAUAUUGCUUCAUGAUCAUUUCAGGUAUCUGCGUCUUGCCACUUGGCUUGAGCUGAGUUGGAUUUUUAAAAAAAUUGUUUUUAGGUUGCAGUGGGAGGAUGUUAAGUGUGCAUACUGUUCAUAACAAUGAUUUAACAGUGAAUGGCUUUGCUGUAAACUAGUUUCACACAUAGUAAAUGAACACAUGCAUUUUUUAUACUAUAUCUGAUGUUUAGUUGAGCUUUUAUGACAGCUAAUUGUUCUUUUUUUUCCUUUUUGAAGGAUUGCAGAACAAGCAGCGGGUUCCUAGGAAGAGGUAGUAGGUUGCAUAGUUUUAGGGCAGUGGUUUUGCCCACAAGGAGUUAACUAUACAACCUGCUGCCUUUCUUAGGGCUUUAAUAUUACAACAGGAUAAUAUUGGCUCAGUUUUAAAUCUUCCUCCAUGAGGCUAUGGUGUAAAGUUUGGAAGACACUAGAAAAGCUUUGUUAACUGAGUAAGCCAAACAAUGUGGGGAAGCCUUAAAAUAUCUUGUAGCCAACAGAAUGUAUCCUUUGCUGUGAUACAAAGUAUGCUAUCCAACUAGGUAGAAAAAGAGGGUGGUAAUAGCUUGAAGCCUGUUUCAAGACUAGGGCAAAGAACUGUUAUAUGUUUAUGAUAUAUAUGAUAAAGCAAACCAAGCUGGCCAAUAAACUGUUUCAUAGUAUGUUAUGUUUCCUGUCUUAUGUUGCCUUGUUCCAACACCCUAAUAAAGCUAGAAAAUACAGAUUUAAUGAACA
Molecule: long non-coding RNA, 2375 nt
Organism: Rhineura floridana
Lineage: Eukaryota; Metazoa; Chordata; Lepidosauria; Squamata; Rhineuridae
Exons: 3
Source: RefSeq, a predicted model, not a curated record